AAGUCGUAACAAGGUUUCCGUAGGUGAACCUGCGGAAGGAUCAUUACCGAACAACCACGCCCCCGUCGCUGUCGUCUCGAUCACCCGAUCGUGACGGCGCGCGGGGACGGACCCCUGUGAACGCGUUUCCGUCUUUGGUGUCCUCAACGCCCGCUCAGGCGGCGCGCUGGGGCCCAAUCUUUUUCAUUUACCCCAUCUCUUCUGAAUGCUGACUGAAGUAAAGUCGAGGUGUGCGCUCUGCUCUUCGGGGCUCUGCUGCAUUGCUUUCGGCGUGGUCAACGCACCUCCCUCGUGGCGGGCGUCGACGACAAUAACUUGUGACAACUUUUAACAACGGAUAUCUUGGUUCAC
Molecule: unclassified non-coding RNA, 351 nt
Filed under: fungal sp.
Lineage: Eukaryota; Fungi
Description: partial internal transcribed spacer region
Rfam family: Eukaryotic small subunit ribosomal RNA (bases 1-46)
Source: RNAcentral